AGAUCAAUGAUGGCUUUACAAAUGGGUCUUGUUGAAAUCUGAACAAAAUGAGUGACAAAAUAACUUCUACAAGGUGAGGUCC
This is a small nucleolar RNA of Callorhinus ursinus (northern fur seal), 82 nucleotides long. RefSeq annotates it as small nucleolar RNA SNORD116. NCBI's taxonomy places the organism in Eukaryota, Metazoa, Chordata, Mammalia, Carnivora, Otariidae. The record is from RefSeq and is a predicted model, not a curated record.